GUGGUUUAAUUCGAUGCUACACGAAGAACCUUACCUGGAUUUGACAUGCACGUAGUAGUGAACCGAAAGGGGAACGAGCCUUCGGGCAGCGUGCACAGGUGCUGCAUGGCUGUCGUCAGCUCGUGCCGUGAGGUGUUGGGUUAAGUCCCGCAACGAGCGCAACCCUCGUCGCUAGUUACAUGUGUCUAGCGAGACUGCCAGGUUAACCCUGGAGGAAGGUGGGGAUGACGUCAAGUCCUCAUGGCCCUUAUAUCCAGGGCUACACACGUGCUACAAUGGACGGUACAAAGGGUCGCGAACCUGCAAAGGGGAGCUAACCCCAGAAAACCGCUCUCAGUUCGGAUUGGAGUCUGCAACCCGACUCCAUGAAGUUGGAAUCGCUAGUAAUCGCGGAUCAGAACGCCGCGGUGAAUACGUUCCCGGGCCUU
Molecule: ribosomal RNA, 428 nt
Filed under: uncultured Caldilineaceae bacterium
Lineage: Bacteria; Bacillati; Chloroflexota; Caldilineae; Caldilineales; Caldilineaceae
Description: bacterial SSU rRNA
Rfam family: Bacterial small subunit ribosomal RNA
Source: RNAcentral